Thunnus maccoyii (southern bluefin tuna) is the source of this 1273-nucleotide long non-coding RNA. RefSeq lists it as uncharacterized. The record is from RefSeq and is a predicted model, not a curated record. The transcript is spliced from 5 exons. NCBI's taxonomy places the organism in Eukaryota, Metazoa, Chordata, Actinopteri, Scombriformes, Scombridae.
GUGACGUGACGUGAAGUGAUGUGACAUGACGUGAAGUGAUGUGAUGUACACGUGAAGUGAUGUGAUGUGACAGUGACAAGGAACCCAGUGAAGUGGUACAACCUGGGGAAAACAAAGAGAAAAAGUACUAAUGGAAGUAGCAGUGGCAUUACGGCCUCCCUGUAACUCUCCUGACUACCAGGAAGAAACAAAGGCCAAAAAGUACAAAUGCAUUAAGUAAGAUUAAUCCUCCUCAUGGUGGAAUCUACCUGGAGUCAACAUGUAAGAGCGUCACCUUCUCAGGGCAGCAUUUGACCUGAUUGUUUCACUGAGAGGCAGAACUGGCCAGUGUUUAAUAUAGAAUAUGAAAAGUUGAGUUUGACAGCUAGAGAAUUUAUACUUUUUUACUUUUAUGCUGUUGACCUAGAACAGGAGGAGAUAAAUUUUGCAUAGGAUUCUUUCUGGUUGUUUGUUUUCUCUGUGAUUGUUUUUCAGUGCUGUCUUUGGAUGAAAAGGCCUCAGUAGGAAACAUAAGAUGGCGGACAGCCCCAGGAUGACCAAACAGAUGAGAGAGAGCCCCCAAGUCAAAUGAAGAUGAGGGAACAGAACCUUGAUGAGGCAGGAGAUGAAGAAAAGUUGCCCCUUGGAAAAAGAAAACUCUGCAGAUGAAAGCAGAGAUGAAUGAACGCAGGCCAAGAAGAGAAAACAUGAUGAACAACCCAGGAAGUGAUGAGUGCUUCCUUUGGGUGACUCCAAGACCCCAAAUGACAAAAAAAGACCCCAGAGGAACCCAAGUAUGCAAACAAAGAUGGGGGACGUAAUGAAGAGAGAAGAGAUGAGGGACAGCUCUGGGUAACUCGAACAAAUUCUCCUUGACUCCAAAUGAUAAAAAAGAUCCAGAAGGAGCCCAAAGAAACAAUCUCAAGAUGCAAACAGAGAUAAGGGAGCAGACCAGAGAGAGAUGAAGCUAUGUCUUUAUAUUGACGAAAAGCAAGUGCGAGAUAGAGCUAAAAGGACAUGACCAAGGAUGACAGUAGAGAUGAGAAUCAGCCCCAGUAUGAGACGAGAUGACAAACAGCACCAGAUGGCUCUAUACUGCACAUACUGCACUGCACUCUUUGUUUAUUUAACCACCUGCAAACAGCUGACGGAGGACCUGAACACUCCAUUUAAAGAUACUAGGGGUGAGAUGGCAGAGAAGACUCGGGGCAGUGCCACUCACACAGAGGGAGAUUUCCUCAAUAAUUUAGCUUGAUGAAAGAGUGCAAAAACUGUCCUUAAAUAAAAAGUCAAA